This 1130-nucleotide long non-coding RNA is filed under the name Musa acuminata (dwarf banana). RNAcentral describes it as "long non-coding RNA (MACU_LNC004450)". The record is from RNAcentral. Lineage: Eukaryota; Viridiplantae; Streptophyta; Magnoliopsida; Zingiberales; Musaceae.
CAGGAGAAAAAAAAGAAAACAAAUCACCGUAGGGAUUUUUCGAGUUUCUAUGAGAAAGAUUAGCUACCAAAUAAUUCCACAAAAAGCUCAUAUCAAGCAUUCACUAAGACUCUUCAUACGAUUAAAGUGUAAGCAAUUGACUUCCGUAUAUAUCUCCGUGUUAACUUAAAGCUGUACCAACAUUACUCGAUCAUUUAUUUGAGAUCAAUUCACACAUCUUAUUUAUUUUCCAAAAUAGCAGGACUUGGAAAAAUGGUUUAGAAGAACUAAGCGAGUAAAAAUAAUUAAGUCCUGAGCUCGAGUUGUUAUCCUUUGCAAAGAGAAAAACAAAAGACACUAGGCUGUUAAAAACGAAAUAAAACACAAGCACCCAAAAUCCCAGACUCGCUCCGAACCCGUCAAUAGCCAACAACUCAUGCAACCAAGCUAUAUAGGACAUCUUUGAACAUGCAGAACAAGACAACUCCGGGAGAUGUUUUGUCACACAUAGCACAAUCAUUAAUAAGGCAAUACAAGAAUGAAAGCGAGUCCUGCCAUUUAUUCUUAUUAAGUUUCACACGAAAAAAAUUGAAUGGGAACUAUAUGCAUGUCUAGAUAUCUGUAGAUACCAAUCAAGCCACCGACACUGCUGGCAUCAAACAGCAGAAUAUUCAAUGAGCCAAUCACCCAAGAAUGCCUCGAUUAUGGAAGGCAUCAGGGAGUGCUCAAAGACCACCCAGCCUAUACAUCACCCAAGAAAUCGCCAAAGAUGCAUAUUUUGCAUCAAAAUAAUGUUACAGUUGAUAAAGCAUGCAGUCGAGUACCUCCUUAGGCCCCCUUAAUCUACUGGUUUUACUGCAUAAGUCCUCACCUUUUGAUAAACAAAAAAAAAGGAAAGAGAAGAUAGUUAGCUAAAGCAAAAACAUUGGAACAUUGAGAUGCUUCUAUACUAUCUAAUCAAAUUGUACCACAAAAUUAGUCUUUUAUAAAAGGAGAGAUCAAGAACCUCACUGAAACUUUUGAUGAACAGAGAAGAAAGAUAUUGGUAUAUGCCUGCACCAACAUACUAAAUAUCUAUGAUGCCCCUUUGCUGGUGCGGAACCUGCUGGAGGUUACCAUUUCCUCUUGGUCAGCUGUUAUAAACCUUAUGC